UACGAAGGGGGCUAGCGUUGCUCGGAAUCACUGGGCGUAAAGCGCACGUAGGCGGAUUGUUAAGUCAGGGGUGAAAUCCUGGAGCUCAACUCCAGAACUGCCUUUGAUACUGGCGAUCUUGAGUCCGGGAGAGGUGAGUGGAACUGCGAGUGUAGAGGUGAAAUUCGUAGAUAUUCGCAAGAACACCAGUGGCGAAGGCGGCUUUCUGGUCCGAUUCUGACGCUGAGGCGCGAAAGCGUGGGGAGCGAUCCGG
This 253-nucleotide ribosomal RNA is filed under the name uncultured bacterium. Its description in RNAcentral is "partial 16S ribosomal RNA". It matches the Rfam family "Bacterial small subunit ribosomal RNA", at positions 524 to 776 of the family's 1533-position model. The record is from RNAcentral.